GCCAUGCACGACAUAAAAAUGGUGCAAAUGAUUUGUAUUUGGUAGAAUCAAUUUUCAUUUACAAUUAAUCACUUUACAAAAAAAUACAGUGUAUCAUUCAUAUACAUGGCAUGACUUUGUAAGGAAAUGUUAUGAUGAAUAUUGCUAUUUUUGGUAGGACAAAUAUUUUAAUUCAUUAAAUCCUAAAAUUUACGAAAGGUUGUUAUUUUUUCUAUAUUUUCUCCCCAUCCCUACAUCAAAUUUACAUUUGUUUGGCUAGCAUUUAAAUGCUAAUACUAUUUGUUUUGCGUUAUCUUCUCAAUUUCAAGCACAAAUAAAAGGGACACUAUAUU
RNAcentral lists this long non-coding RNA (332 nucleotides) under Malus domestica (apple). Its description in RNAcentral is "long non-coding RNA (MDOM_LNC005065)". Lineage: Eukaryota; Viridiplantae; Streptophyta; Magnoliopsida; Rosales; Rosaceae. The record is from RNAcentral.